Molecule: long non-coding RNA, 16956 nt
Filed under: Triticum aestivum (bread wheat)
Lineage: Eukaryota; Viridiplantae; Streptophyta; Magnoliopsida; Poales; Poaceae
Description: long non-coding RNA (TAES_LNC018070)
Rfam family: MIR1120/MIR1122 microRNA precursor family (bases 11937-12052)
Source: RNAcentral
AUUUUGUAGGUAUGCUGUGUGGGAAUUGUCAGAACUUUGGAUCAUCACCAAGAUGGUUGAAAUUACUUCCACUGAUCUGAAGAACAAAUCGAAUUCACAUGUGCUAUGUUCAUCAGGAAACUACAAAACUAGCACUUGUGUAGACUUGACAGGUUUUCCUGAAAGUUUUGCUGCCGAGGCUUGCUUAAAGCUGCAUUACAGGACUCAUAAAUAUAAUGAUCAAAUACAUCAUGUGUACCAGUUGAACUUAAAUGAUGUUGAUCUGCAUGUUCAUCCGUCUGUAUUUGGUCAGAUAAAGAAGUUUUUGAGCAAUCUUGAUGCAGUAUCUCCAGGUGGCAGUGCUGUUGUGUCCUCAAUGGACCAGAGUUCCAUGAAACCUAAGGCAGCCAAUGCCAAAUUUCCUAAGCUUUCAUUGGCAGAUAUCUGUGGAGCAGGGAGCACAUCAUUUGGAGGAGUUUCUGUUGAUCACUUUCCCUUUUUACAUGCUGAUAUCAUAUCUAAUUUCGGAUGUUUAGAAACUCGAGAUGUUCAAGCCUUAGAUAUUACACCUUCAAAUGGUUACUCCGCACCAGAGCUUUCAAGCAAUGUACAAUGUAAAACUGAGCAUUCUAACUGUUCAUCUAACUCACUGAAUAACACAAAUAAUGUCAGCACAACCGUUCUGGAUUUAUCACUUGUUUCGGUUAGAACACAUUUCCAUGAAUCAUGUGGUAUUUUAGCAACACUCACUGUUCCCGAGUCUAUAGCAACAUUCUCACUGGUAGAUGCAACUUCAUGGGACCUAUUGUUGUCUGCUAAAGAUAUAUUGCUCGCUUCACCGUGGACAUCACCAAGUGUCAGUGAGGUACUCUGGGGAACUUAUUCACAUGGUAAUUCUAAUGUACUCAACGUCCGUGUCAAAAAGGACUUGUCUGCCCUCUCAACUGAAGUAUGUAUUGCAACCCAAAAUGUUUGUUGUGUAUUACCAACAAAACUGCUGGCAAUGAUUAUUGGAUAUUUUUUAUUGGAUGAUUGGGAUCCUAUGGUGGAAGAGCAUCACUCUGUGGCAAGUAACAAUCUUGAGUGUUCCGGAGAAUUGCAUGACAGUAUCACCUACACAAUUGAGAUAUGUGAUUGUGUUAUACUUUUUCCUAUUGAAAAUCAAGAACUUUUUUGUAUAAAACUUGGUGUUCCAUAUUUUUUCUGCGAGUUCAUUCCAACUGGGAUUUCAGCAGAAUUUGUCAAGCAUAUUCCCAAAGAAUUCUUCAGUUCAGAAUGUACUCUUUCCAGUAGAGUUGAUGUCAUCAGCCUAUGUUCAAGAGAUGCAUCCAUAUCACUUGUAUUCCUGAAUGAGAAAACAAAAUUUAUCCCGAAGCUUGAUGAGGACAUGCCUGCAAGAAUACACCCUCUUGUGGAGAAGCUUGAUGCCGGCAUAUGGAUUCAAGUUCCUUGCAAAACACUAUCCUGCUCCGAGCAGCCUUUGUUGGCCACUUUCAUUAUGAGCAAAAUAUCAAAAUGCAAUUUGAUUUCUGAAGGUAUAUAUUUGGAUUGAUACCAUCUUCUUUUAAACAUUUCUUGAUAUGUAUUGGUUAUGUAAUAAUACCAUACUCUGUCUUAUCUUGUACAGAUUUGUAUUUUAUGGACGGGAUGGAGACAGUUUUUCGUAUUACUGACGAGUUAACUUCAAUUGUCAAAGAAAGUAAAAUGUACGAAGGCAAUGCCCGUCAGUUUUUAGAACGUAGAAGAUCCAAUGAGGAGAGCGUUGAAUCUAAUGAGCCUAUUAAUAUUACUAUUUCUAUCAAGGAUCUGGUGGUUCUCUUUGGUCACUCAAAAGAUAAAGAAUUGCCAUUGGAGAAGGUUGCCACUGCAAACCUUGAGUUUGAUGUUUCUGCUGUAAUGGUUAAUGAAAAACCUGAGCAUGUUGACAUGGAUAUUGUCUCUUUAGCUCUACACUCAUCUGGUGGCCACACUCUUGUCUCCAUAGUUUCUGAUGGGCCAUCAUCUCCUAUUCUAAUCAAGUUCACAAAGCAUCAUGCUGGGCGAGAUGAGAUAUUAAUUACUGUACCCUUUUUCGAGAUCUGGUUAUAUUUAGUUGAUUGGGAUAUCAUUAUCAACCAUUUUCAUUCCUGCAUAGGAAAGGAAGACAACAGUUUGCAUGCGGGGCAUCCAGCAGCUUCACCUCAUUUUUCAGGCUCUGCAAUGUCAUCAUUUCUUGAAUCAGAAUCACAAGACAAUUCUUACUUGGUGGUAACAUGUGAAAGUAUUGCUGUUGUUGUUCAUGUACCUAUCUGGGAGAAAGAGCAAAAUGAGAAUAGCAAUUAUCCAAGGGUUGACGGGAAUUCUGGUUCUUAUUUGAUCCACCAUGCAGAUGAUACUCAAUCCAAUGAACGAAGAGGUUGCAAAUUUGUCACCUUAACUUUUGAGAGUAAACAUUUUGUGGUCAUGUUAGGUGAAAGCUGGGUGAAGUUCAAAUGUGAUUUAGAUAGAGUAAAAGUAAUACUGGAGAUGAUCCAAGUGAGCAAGGGUGCCUCUGUUCCGUUCAUGCAUAUAUCUAAGAUUAAAGCUGGUGGCUAUAUUCAUCAAUCAGAAACUGACAUGCUACAUCUUUCUGUUGAUCUACAAGCAGAAUACAUGGAUAUUAGUUUUUCACACCAGAUAUUUAGUUUCUGGCGUAGUAUAGAACUCAGAUUUCCUAAAUCGUCGUCAUCAGCUUCCUCAUUUUGUUCUGUGACAUUGAAGGCGGGAUUAAGAAAAGGUUCUCUCCUGCUAAAUGAUGGAAGGGUAAGUUAUGCUACAUUGCUAGUUGUUAAUUUGCUGUAAUGAAAUGCCAUAAAAGCUUAGAUGUGUAACAAAUAUCCUUAGACCGGCUAUUUGUUGAAUGUUUUAUUCGGGUUUGUGAGGUGGAGUAUCACUGGAAAAUACUCGCAGUAUCAUGCGACUUAGCCAUUUUCUUGGCCAUUUGGUAGAUAAAGCAACAACAACAAAGCCUUUAGUCCCAAACAAGUUGGGGUAGGCUAGAGGUGAAACCCAUAAGAUCUCGCGACCAACUCAUGGUUCUGGCACAUGGAUAGCAAGCUUCCAUGCACCCCUGCCCAUAGCUAGUUCUUUGGUGAUACUCCAAUCCUUCAGAUCUCUCUUUACGGACUCCUCCCAUGUCAAAUUCGGUCUACCCCGACCUCUCUUGACAUUAUCCGCAUGCUUUAGCCGUCCGCUAUGCACUGGAGCUUCUGGAGGCCUGCGCUGAAUAUGCCCAAACCCCAAACCAUCUCAGACGAUGUUGGACAAGCUUCUCUUCAAUUGGUGCUACCUCAACUCUCUCGUAUAUCAUCAUUCCGGACUAGAUCCUCGUGUGGCCACACAUCCAUCUCAACAUGCGCAUCUCCGCCACACCUAACUGUUGAACAUGUCGCCUUUUAGUUGGCCAACACUCAGCGCCAUACAACAUUGCGGGUCGAACUGCCGUCCUGCAGAACUUGCCUUUUAGCUUUUGUGGCACUCUCUUGUCAUAGAGAAUGCCAGAAGCUUGGCGCCACUUCAUCCAUCCGGCUUUGAUGCGAUGGUUCACAUCUUCAUCAAUACCCCCAUCCUUCUGCAACAUUGACCCCAAAUAUCGAAAGGUGUCCUUCUGAGGCACCACCUGCCCAUCAAGGCUAACCUCCUCCUCCUCGCGCCUAGUAGUACUGAAACUGCACCUCAUGUACUCGGUUUUAGUUCUACUAAGCCUAAAACCUUUCGAUUCCAAGGUUUGUCUCCAUAACUCUAACUUCCUAUUGACCCCCAUCCGACUAUCGUGAACUAGCACCACAUCAUCCGCAAAGAGCAUACACCAUGGGAUAUCUCCUUGUAUAUCCCUUUUGACCUCAUCCAUCACCAAGGCAAAAAGAUAAGGGCCCAAAGCUGACCCUGAUGCAGUCCCAUCUUAAUCGGGAAGUCAUCAGUGUCGACAUCACUUGUUCGAACACUUGUCACAACAUUAUCGUACAUGUCCUUGAUGAGGGUAAUGUACUUUGCUGGGACUUUGUGUUUCUCCAAGGCCCACCACAUGACAUUCCGCGGUAUCUUAUAAUAGGCUUUCUCCAAAUCGAUGAACACCAUAUGCAAGUCCUUCUUUUGCUCCCUGUAUCUCUCCAUAAGUUGUCGUACCAAGAAAAUGGCUUCCAUGGUUGACCUCCCAGGCAUGAAACCAAACUGAUUUUUGGUCACGCUUGUCGUUCUUCUUAAGCGGUGCUCAAUGACUCUCCCAUAGCUUCAUUGUAUGGCUCAUAAAAAAUAAUUUGAAUAUAUUGCUGUUAAGAAGGGAGCACUAUGAAGUAUUGAAGCGAGCUGAAUAAUGUAUGUAAAAAAUGUCACAGAAUGAAACAUUAGCUGGUGCCUUCCAAAGACAGUUCCGUACCUUCAGCAGUAAUGGAUCAUUAGCUUUGUUUGGUCAACCUUGCAACUGAAUCUGUAAGAUGACUUUGAAGUCUACUUUGCCCCUAAUAAAAAAAUUGUCUAUUUUUUAAUUGAUCAGACAACUUUUUUUAUGCCUAUGUGUCUUUUUGUGUACUCAAAUACGCUGAUUGGCAUAUCCUCUUUGUAAGCUUCAACAUUUAGCUCAUUCUGGUUUUCGGUAAUGCUUUCUUGACAGUGGAGCAGUCAUGGGCCUGUUAUAGAGACGUUGGUGAAGAACUUGUCACUGCAAUUUAGUCAAAUGGGUGUUGAGACUGAAGUUUCUGCUUUUGUUGACUUUCUGAUAAACUACAACAACAUCGACAAGGUAAAGCUAUGCUUCCUUGCUGUCUGAUGUAUCAUGUUUUUCAUGGUAUAAAGGAAUAACAAUUUAUAUAUGUGUAGGUUAUGUGGGAACCUUUUAUAGAGCCCUCAAGUUUUCAGUUAAACAUACUUCGAAAAUGUGCUGAUCAUGCACUGGAUGUAUCUCCCAUUACUGAGGUGUCGCUAAAUUCAAGCAAGCAGCUUAAUGUUAAUAUAUCAGAGCCCUUGAUCGAGGUACAUGAUCUUGGCAUACUGUAUUUUCAAACUUGUCAAGAGGCAAAUAUUGUUGUGUCCUAUCUUCAAGUGAUUAACAUUAUAGUUUUUUACUGCCAUUAUCAUCUUGAUUAACCUGAUUCAGGAAUCAGGGCAGUGAGUCUGCAGAUAGAAUGUAGCUAUAUAUCUGUUCUCAAGGAGCAUUGACACUUAUUUAGCUUAGUAGUUCUUUUUUCUUAAAUUAACUCAGCAGUGUGUGAUAUCUGUAUGUGCUUUUGAGUCCCAGUUCUCAAGUAUGUUGCUCUGAUUUCAUCAUUUGCAUAUGUAGGCUAUCUUCAGACUUAGUGAGAUGAUCACAGAUUCUCUUAAUCCAAGUAGUGGAGGUGAUCUUCGAGAAGAUCCUGGGAUCGUGAGGUUAAGCCGUGAUGAUGUGCACACCAGGAGAUACGCACCAUAUAUUCUCUCAAAUGACACAUCACUGCCAUUUAGUUUCAAGGUGUAUCGUGGUGCUGUUAAUUCAGAUGACAUUGAUAGUUUCUCUAUAGUAGAUGAGAAUUCUGUGCCGGCAGGAUAUUCUGUCCCGAUAUUUGUUGAAGAAACUCUAGAUGAAUUCUUCUUCCAGCACAGGGAAGCACGAUCAUCUGAACACCUCAUCGAGAAAUGGAUGAGUGCAGUCUCACACUAUAUGAUUUCCAUUGAAUUUGAUGGGACUUCCGGGUCCUCUAAGCCAAUGUCAAUUGACCUUGUGGGCAUUUACUUCUUUGAAGUCAACUUCUCUUCAAGUAAGAAGCCAAUUCUUGGCGAGGAAAGCUUGGAAGCAUUUGGAUCUGGUAGAAAGGGUAGCCAUCAUGAUGGAUUAAUUGUGCCUGUUGUACUCGAUGUUUCCUUGCAGAAUUAUAGCAAACUUGUACGAGUUUACUCAACGGUAAUAACCUUUUGAAUGAUCAGUUGCAUCAUUAUCCGCAUACACGGGCUUAUGAUCUCUUUUUAUAGGUCAUACUCUUCAAUGCAACAUCAAUGCCCCUUGAGUUGCGGUUUGAUAUACCAUUUGGUGUUUCUUCAAAGGUAUAUAUAUAUAUUCUUCCUAAUUUUAUCUUGCAACUGUUUAGAGAAAAUGUUGAUAAAGGUACUAUCAAAGUACGAGAAUAGAUUAAUGUUGGCCUCAUUGUGCCUUUAUUGUUCAUUCAUGUUCUAGAUUAAAGAAAAUGCGAAAAAUAACUAUUGGAAAUUGGGGAAAAGCAGGUGGUUGGUGGCUGAAUUUCAAACUUUGAAGUCACAUUUGGAUUCAAAAUGUUUAUUUAUAUAUGAAAUAAAAGUUGACCAUGCCAAAGGACAAUCCUACCAUGAACUCUGAUAGAUUGCCUGCUACCAGUAGCUUUAAACUCAUAAUUCUAUUCUUGCACAAUGCAGAGAGUAAUUGCACGGUUUGUGCCCUGUUCAAAUCUGUGCAUUUUACUCUUCUAAACAUCUUCUUGUAUACUUCAUUUGCUACCUAAUAUCAACUUCUCAGCUACUCACUGUAGAGCACUCUUGGUUAAUUGAUGAUUCACAAGGAGCAAACAUGAGAUUUCUCAAGAAACUUUAUCCUGCAGGUAAUCGGGCCAAUUCUUCCAAACAAAGAGAUUCCCCUGCCGGUUCAUUUGUCUGAGGCUGGCCAGAUUAGGUGGCAUCCUGUUGGCAGAACUUAUUUGUGGAGUGAAACCCACUCCUUAUCAAGUUUGCUUUCACGUGAAAGCAGGGUGGGUUUUAUGAAAUCAUCUGUGUGCUAUCCUUCUCACCCUAGUAAUGAUCCAUUUCGCUGCUGUGUAUCUGUUGAAGAGUACACUGUCCCUUCAUCUAGUAGUGCCCAGAAAGGUCAGUACUGCACUGACCAUUUGAAUGCACAACCAAUUCUUGGAAAUACUGCUCCAAGGGCUUCUAAGCAGGUUUUAACAAGAACACAUUUCAUCCGGCAAGUCCGACUUAGUACACCUCUUCUCAUAAAGAACAAUCUCCCUGUGUGUGUAUCUUUGACAAUAGAUAAUGGUGGGGUUGCACAUCAGGUUUCACUUAAGGAGGUAAGUUUCUGAUGCCAUACAUAUAUAUUACCUUGACUAUUAUUUCGCUAAUUCGUUACUGAAUGAUAUUCACAGGUGGGUACCGCCUCUAUUUAUUUUGUUGACCCCUCCAACGAUCUUGGAAUCACAUUUCAUAUUCAAGAUUACAGAUCCGUGACCAUAAAGUUUCCCCGUGUGGAAUCCUUCUCUAAUGGAGCCACAUCAAAUGGCUUGAAAUUCUCCUUAACAGAGACGAUCGCGUUCUACUCAAAUGUGUCGAAAUGUAUGUUGUUCAGCCUUUCUCUUUACUCUGAAUAAGUUGAUAGUGCAUAGCUAAAAUUUCGGUGGCGGUUUCUUUGGCAGGUCCUUUCAAUGUUAUGCUGGAGAAAGCAACAGAUGCUCAUUCUGGUGCAAGAGAGCUGUGCCUUUCCGUGCCAUUUCUUUUGUACAAUUGCACAGAUCUCUUGCUUACAGUCACAGAAAUCAGCUAUGAGAGGAGCGGGUCCACCCUUUUGAUCCCGUGCAGUUUUGAGUUAGAUGGGCACACAAGACAUGUGCUUGGGAAAAAUGGCCUUUCUCUUGUUUCAGAAGACCCAUCCAUACAGUCAGUGACUAUGGUCCUUAAAGCAUUCAUAUGCGUGUGUUAAAAACUAACUUUGUUUUUCGGCUUUGUGUUUGGAAUAACUUGUGCAUUUCUUUUACCAGGCACUUUGCAAGUAAAAUGCCACAGUUGGAUUUUAUUGAUGGACGCAGCUCUCAUUCAAACAGAAGAGUUGCAAAUAACAGUGAGCAUGUGCAGAAAGAAUGUGACGGAGAGGCUAAAGCUUAUAUGUUUGCUCCUGCUGGACAUACACCUCCAACUGAACUUUCAGUUAAGCUGAAUGCAUCUGUACCUAAUAGUGGAACUGAAACAACUCGACGAGAUUGGUCGAGUCCAUUUCUCCUUGUCCCUUCCAGUGGUUCAACGAGUCUCACUAUUCCACAAUCAUCUACUUCUAGUGCCUUCUUAAUAGCCGUAACAUCUGUACCUGUUUCGACAGAACUUUUUGGGAGGACAAAGGCUAUUGCUUUCCAGCCGAGGUAAUUCAUCAACUGCUUGUAAUGGCAACGAGAUUGUUUCAGUGCUCAUCGUUAUCUAUCAACUUACAAUGUGUUGGAGUCGGUUCCACUCUCUAGAAGAAAAGCAAAACAAAAAAACACCAUGAUCAUUUACUGAUAACAAAUGAAACUUAGCACACUGGAGUUCUGCAGUAGCCUUGGCUGGUUCAUUCCUUUUACAUGAUUUACUUUGUCAUUGUCUGUAGUCCUGAAAUGCUAUAAAUUUCAGACAUAAUUUUCCUGAGGAUUCCACUGCCUUAAGGCUGUAGCAGCCAUCAAAACUAAUUUUCAGUUUAUUUCUUUUUUUUCUGACAUGUAACUUUUUCAUUCUCUGGUGGCCUGGCUAAUUUUUUAUUCUACCUCUUUUCCCCUGUUUUUCCAGAUAUGUAAUUUGUAAUGCAUGCAGCAAUGAUAUGUUCUAUAAACAAAAGGGAACAAGAUUUUCUAAGCAUUUGAGCUCGGGACAACACUCUUUUCUUCACUGGGCUGAUACAGCCAGGUGAGUUAUUAUCCUUUGUAUCUGGAGCUUAGCCAUACAAUUUCUGUUCUUAACUAGCUUGCUUAGUUUGAUUUUUAAGAAAUUAUCAGUUCAUAUGUAUGAGCCAACAAUUCAUGCAUGUAAAUUUAGAAAUUUGGAUUUAGAAUAUUAAACUGAAUUCAAUUCUCAAUUUUAUCAGCAUGGUAUGGUUAUAUGUGCUCUCCAUAGACCCUUUUCAAGUAUUUACAGUUUGUUCUGAGGAUACUCUGUUUGCAGAGAGUUGCUUGUCUCGAUUCGAUUUGAUGGGCCAGGAUGGCAAUGGUCUGGUAGCUUUUUCCCUGACCGCCUGGGAGAUGCCCAAGUGAAAAUGAGGAAUAGUGCCUCAGGUGUAUCAAAUAUGGUUCGAGUGGAAGUACAAAAUGCUGAUAUAGACAUGCAUAGCAAAAAAAUUGCUGGAAGAAACAAUAGUACUACCGGUACAAUACUGAUUCUGCUGUCUGAUGAUAAGACUGGUUUUGUACCUUACAGGAUUGACAACUUUUCGCUCGAGGUAAAUAGCUCUUGCUAUGUAGCUUUCUUGAAACUCUGGUUCUCAAGUUUACGAUUGUUUUUUUUAAUUCAGAAACUGCGGAUAUAUCAGCAGAGAUGUGAAUCUAUUGAAACAAUUGUAUAUCCUUACACAUCAUGUCAAUAUGCCUGGGAUGAACCUUGCUAUCCUCACCGUCUUAUUGUUGAGGUACUUUAUUGAGCUUCUUUCUUCAGUUAUUUUUAAACAACUUAUACUUUCAGUUUAAUCUCCCAAGCAAGUAUACAACAUGGUUUCUCUCCCUUACAGGUUCCUGGGGAACGGAGUUUGGGUACAUACAGUCUGGAUGUUCUCAGUGAUGAUGUUCAUGUGGCCCUACCUUCCACACCUGAGGUAGUUCAAUGUCUUGUAGCUGCUGCUAACUGAAUAGAUCAUGGGCUAACUUGGCAUUUUUGUUAUUAACAUGAUAAUAUUGACUGGAGUUGCUAAACUUAAGAGGCUUUAUCAAAUAAUAAUCAGUUAAUAACAGGUCCUUUUACUUAAGCACCGUUUAUGCCUGCGAAUGUUGUGUGUGGAGAAGCUUUGUAACAAUAGGAAUUGUGUUCCCCGAUUUCACAUGGUUCUAUUUAUUACGGCCAGGGAAAAUUACUACUUAAUCACAUGAAAGAAAGAGAAAAGGCUGGUUUUAUGCUUGGUUUGAUUUAUGACAAUCUUAGUCGGUUCUGCUUAUUAAUAUUGUUGAUAUUUUUCAGUUGCUUUCUGACCUGGUUCUGUUUAAUAUGUUUUUGCCAGAAAGCCGAAAGAAAAUUUGGCAUCUCGGUGCAUGCGGAGGGAGCAAUAAAGGUUAUUUUCCAAGGACCAGUAGCCAUCAAGAUUUGAUCAAAUAUAUUUCUCUUGUUAGUUUUUCAUUGUGAUAAUAAACUGCAGGUGCUCAGUAUUAUUGAUUCAAAUUGUCACAACAUGGACACAAAAGAAGCAGGUGUCCUUGGAUCAAGGGAACCAAAGGAUGCUGAUCACAAACAGGAGAUCGAGUUGAACUUCACUGAAGUUAUCAAAAUACACUUACCAUUCAUGGGCAUAUCUUUGAUAAGCUCUUCUCCUCAGGUGAACAGAGUGCUACGGUUGACCAAGAAAUUUUCAGCACUGCAUAUAUUUUAAUAUACUUCGCCUUUUUUUUGCCAGGAAUUGUUGUUUGCUUCUGCCAAGGAUAUGACGUUUGUUGCCAUGCAGAGCUUAGAUCAGCAGAGGAUUACGGUUGAAAUACCAAGUAUGCAAAUUGAUAAUCAAUUCUCUGACAGCCCAUACCCUGUCAUGCUGUCAUUUGAGGGAAGUCACAAGGGAAAAUCGAUUAAUUUUUUGAAGAGUAAAGAUACCAAGCUGAAAUCUCUAAAUGAGAGUAGAAGUUCUAAUACCCCAGAACCUGUGCUGCGGUUCGCUGCAGUAAAAUGGAGAACUAAAGAUACAUCAUUUCUUUCGUAUCAACGUAUAAACAUCAGGUAUUAUUUAUGCUAUCAGUUUAAGUUAUUUCAGAUGUUUAUAUCUGAACUUGUGGUAAUUUUCUUCAUUUGGUGGUUCACAGUGUAGCACCUUUCUGCCUUGAACUUGAAGAACGACUUGUCCUGAGCAUGAUUGACUUUUUUAGAUCCGUUUCCUCUAGAGUGCAUUUUGGUCUGUUGGAGAAAAGUGUAGACUCAAGUAUUUUAUGUGGUGCUACUGAUAUUUUUGGUGAAUAUGCAAAAAUUUCAAAAAACCUGUCAGACAAGCCCCAAAGCUCCUACACAGUGGACACUGAUCAAGACAAUGGACUGCUGCCGUCUGUUAUCCCGAUUGGUGCACCAUGGCAACAGAUACACCUAUUAGCCAGGAAACAGAAAAAAGUAUAUAUUGAAUUGUUUGAGUUGACUCCUGUCAAGUUAACUUUCAGGUUAUUUCUUCUCUGUGUUUAUGUUUCCGGACACCACUGUGAAAAACCAUUAUCAAUUUACCAGUGACUGUCUUUUGCUGUAGUUUUACUAGCACUCCAUGGCUCAAUAGGAAUGAAGGUGUCUCAGACCCCAGCACAAGCUUCAACAACAGUACUGCAAUUCAGGUGGAACAAUAUACUCCAUGCCACUUCCGGAGAUAUUAUGCAAAACAAAAUGUUUUUUGUUUCUAUGGUAUUACUUGGCCGUGCUUCUUAAAGGAUAGUUAUAUACUCAUACAUUUCUACAGGCCCUACAAAUGUUAAUUACUUCAUUCUGUACUACAACUAAAUUUCUUUAUAAGAGGAUUUCACAUCAGAGCAUUGUGCGUGCUUCUGUUAUCUACAUAAGUUCUUUCUUCCUUUCUUUUUGGAGGAACUACACGUGUUUAUUUUAUAUAUACUGCGAUAGUAGCAGCGAUCUUUCUAUGAAAGCUGGAUCCAUUGAGUUCUCUUUUCUCAGUGUGCUGCUGACUGAUACAGUUUACAAAGAUGCUAUAUUAUCUGUGGCUCUGUCUUGAGUUGGACAAUGCUAUACGAGUGCAAAGUAAUAUAUUUGCUUGUCCUGAAUCCUUAUCUAGUGUAGAUAGUGUUGACCUGGUAGCACAUAUGCACAUGGAUUGUUCAGCACUUGAUCUGUUUGUAGGCUCUGAAGUUAUUUACUAGGGUAUUUCCUUGUAUGCCGUCUUAAUUAAGCAUUUUGGUUGCAGAGAGGCCUUAUGGCUCUCAUUGACGUUGAAGGAGUACCAGUUCAUCUAGGAGAAAUAAUGGUAGAAAAUCUUAUGGCAAGUUGGCAAUCCAUCCAGGACAUUCUUGUGAGGCACUAUAGCAGGCAGUUGCUUCAUGAACUCUAUAAGGUAAAUUGGCACCAUUCAAGCUAGUAUUCUUUCUAGUCAAGUACUCCCUCCAUCCCAAAUUACUUGUAGCCCAAAUGGAUGUAUCUAGACGUAUUUUUAGUUCUAGAUACAUCCAUUUAUGUGACAAGUAAUUCGGGGCGGAGGGAGUAUAUCUUUUUUGGGGGGGCAUCUUCUUUAAUGUCCAAAAUAACCUUAAUAAGCUUAUUGAACAAUCCUGGAACCAAAACUACAUGGAUAUUUGUUGCUCUCCUAAGAUCUUCUGCAGUGUGAGUGGCUGCAACCAUGUGCUUGUGCCAACAUUUACCUCCAUCUCUUUUCUUUUUCCUGUUAAGAAGCGGGCCGUAUUGUAUUCUAUAGGACUACCUUGGUUUAUAUAAUCUGUAUUUCCAAUGUCCAACAGUAUUACAUAAUUACUACAUGUGUCUUGGGAGCAGAAUUUGUUGUGAUAUACUGUAAGUGCAGGUUUUUGGCUCUGCUGGCGUUAUAGGGAAUCCUAUGGGUUUUGCCAGGAAUGUUGGAUUUGGCUUAAAAGACUUUAUGUCUGCCUCAAGGAAAGGGAAAUUGCAGGUUUGUAAAUGCAGUUUUCUUGAGGAACUAGCAAUUCUUUAAUCCUUUUCUUAAAGUUCUAUUGAUUUACUCUUUGACAGAGUCCUGUUGAGCUAUUAAACGGUAUCGCACAAGGUUCAAAAAAUCUUAUUGGCAGUACGGUUUAUGCAGUCAGUAGCGCCACUUCUCACUUUAGUAAAACUGCCUAUAAGGUAUUAUCUGAGCUCCAGUUUGAUCAUUGGAAAUUACGCUCUCCAGAAGUCAUGGGCUCUCAUAGCUCAUGGAAAUUUGUUAUGCAGGGCCUUGUUGCGUUUACAUAUGAUGAGCAAACCGCUUCCAAACUGGAUGAACGGGACAGACAGCUAGGUUUGCAUGGGGAAGGAGUACUGAAUGGGUUUCUAGAGGUGAAAGCCAUCUCUCUUGAUCAAGUAUUACUGAUUUACCUUUAUAGCUGGUGUCUGUUCUCGUGUAACACCCAAAUCCUAGAUGACUCUUUGAAUUGGAACCUGAUGACCUUUUCUUGCUCCAUAGUUGUGAUAGUUGUACACAAUUUAGUAACUGCGUCCUUCCAGUACCAUACUAUUGGAAAGAAAAUCUGUCACAGCUCACAGCUAUUAUUUACACAUUCAUUCUUCAGUAUGCUCAAUAGAAUAUUGCCGGACCUGUCUCUAAAGCAGCAUACAUUGUGUGCAUUUCAAUCUUGUUCUGUAGGGUCUGACUGGGCUCCUCCAAUCACCAAUCAGAGGUGCUGAGAAACAUGGUCUUCCUGGGGUUAUCUCAGGUAAUGCCACUCGAUAGGCCCUUGCAGACAAUUUUUGUUGUUCCAGACAUUGACCAACUGUGUAUCUAUUUUACAGGUAUAGCAAUGGGAACAGCUGGGCUUGUGGCUAGGCCUAUGGCCAGUAUUCUUGAAGCCACAGGCAGAACUGCACAGAGCAUAAGAAACCGAAGCAAUCCUCAUGAAUCCAACCGCCUGCGUGUCCGUUUCUCGAGGCCUGUGGCCAGAGAUCGCCCUUUGUUCCCAUACUCCUGGGAAGAAGCAGUUGGAGUAUCUUUGCUUCUCCAAGCUGAUUGUGGCAGGCUGAAGGACGAAACAUUUGUCGUGUGCAAGAUACUCCGGGAGCCCGCAAAGUUCCUUGUGCUUAGUGAGAAACUGCUGCUGCUAGUCUCAAGCCGGUAUUUGGUGGAUUUGGGGUCACCCCAGUUUGCUGGUGUUCCUCCUGACCCACAGUGGGCGAUUGAAACUGAGAUGAACCUGAAAUCUAUUGUUCAUCUGGACAGAGCUCAGGAGGUAGUGAACAUUGUUGGGAGCAACGGCGAAACAUCGCCAAGGGACAAAAGAGGCAGAUCAAGAGACAUUGCCCUGAGCUCAGCCUUCAUCCCACUAUUUCAUUUCAGUGUCGAGCUGCCAAGCAUCGAAGAUGCAGAGGGCACGUUGCAGUUCUUAAUGGCACUUAUUGAGAAGGGAAAGGCAAGGAGAUGGGACAAGAACAUCCUUCACCGAAGCAACAUUUGCUGAGGUUUCUGGGUCUUGAUCCUUACUACAGUGUUUGUGAAUGAGAGUACUCCGCAUACACCUCAGACGACACCAGCCAGGAUCACUGCGCAGCGUCCAGUGAACGUGGAUGACCUUCGGAACAACCGCGCUAUACAAGAGGCGUGUUAAGCAAGUGCCGUCAUCCGUAAGCAUCUGUUGAUACCAUUAGUAGAUCAGGAUAGAUACUGAUAUACGAGGGGCUGGCGUAGCUGGCAUAAUUUUGUAGCCUUUUUCCUGGAUGAUCCACCACGGAACAGGUAGGAUUAAGGUUUCAGCCUUUUUGUAGGCCAAAUGUACACAUGUAGGGUUUUCCAGAAUUUUGUCCACCGCUUUGUAAAUGAUGGCAUUUGAGUCGCAAAAGUUUUGUUAUCCACUAUCAUUCUUCACUGUGCCCAUUUGUGUAUCACAAACGAAAGUUAACAUACUUUUAGUCAAACAAAAAUUGUUCAAACUACCACGCAAGACAAGCCAGCCAGACAUCUUCCGAACUACUCCCUCCGUUUCAAAAUAGAUGACUCAAUUUUAUACUAAUUUUAAUAAAAAGUUGGGUCAUCUAUUUUGAAACGGAGGAAGUACAAACCUUGAAUAUUCCAUUCUUAAAAGAUUGAAUCCGGUGCGACUUCCUCUCAUUUCUUUCCUUACCCAUCCAGAAUUCACCGACGAGCUGGUGUGUUCAUUUGUUACUAAAAAAAAAGUUGGUGGAUUCAUCUCCCCGUUGCCUGCCGCUCCGGCAGCCGGUGGCAGGAAGGGAAACACUGAUGCCUUCGCUCCGAUUAGUAGUAUAGGUUAGAGUUUUUGUCCUCGCAGGUACGGCGCUCGGGAUGGAAGCACUUCUUUGAAUGCCUUUGACGGGUCAAGCAGGCCUCGGCAGGGAGACGACGACAAUGGUGCGUCGUUGGCUCGUUUCUUAUGGUCGUUCGGUGGUCUUGAAAUCUUUAUGUGGUAAUUUUCAUUGCGUUUGAGAUACUUUGUUCUUCCAGUUAACUUUUAUAAUAGAUUUUUCGAGAAAAACAAAAAAAAAGUGAACUCUUUCAUUGAAGGUUUUUUAUUUAUUUUUAGACCACCUGAGUGAGCCAAGAAAGAGCGAUGGAUGUACAUAACAGAAAAAGAAAAGCUGAAUGAACUAGCAAGAUGUUCAUGCAUUGCACGGAAUAUUAAAAUGCAUUUUUUACAAAAUACCUUUUCUAAUUGACCCAUGCAGGAGUAAUCUCACGUGUAAAAACUAAUAAUAUCUCAAAAAUUUCAUAAAAACAUGAUAUCUCGAGAAAGAUAAGUGAGGCGUGGUGGUGACUGAUGGUCGGCGGAGGCAUGAGGAUGGGACGGCGCCGGCACCAUGCCAGAUUAUUCCAGAGACUUCCUUUUUUAGUUGUCUGUAAAUGUCUUUUUUAGUUGUCUGUAAAUGUGAAGAGAGUCGCGGGUUUUUUUGUAGUUUGCUUUUUAUUCAUAGAUAUAGAUCGAUCUAUAUUACAAGAUGGCAAAAACAUCAUCACAAACUCGGUUUUUUAUAACAAGCAGAAUCUACAUAAUCAAAACUUGUCUGUCAUGGCGCAAGUCUGGAUUUUCAUGGAUUUUAGAAUUAGUUACAGAAUUGAAGUAAAAUCAGCAUAUGAAAUUUCAAGGUAAGCCGAUCUACUCAUGUUGAGAUUCAAAGACCUCCUUUGGUUUAGAGGAAUCUUAUUAUAGAUUUCUAUAAAGGAAUUCUUCCUAUCUUUCACAUUUCAUAGGAAAAUAAGGUCUAAAGGAAUGAAACCCAUGGCACACUUACUAUAAACCUAGCUUAAAUUUUUCUCCCCCAAACAUAUAUAAUGCGGUUGUUACGUAAGCUGCAAAAUUACCGUGCAAGCUCCAGUACCUCAUACGUUUACCCACAGAAUAGAAACACCUGACUUGGACAUACACAAACAGAUGGAAACAGAUAUUACUAGCAGAUUUAGGUCCAUAUAAUUAAUCAACAGACAGAUUCAAAAAGCAGUCAACCAAGCACAGAGCAUCAAAAGCUGGUGACGACACAAUCAGUAGGGUAAAACAAGCAAUGGCUUUUCAACCGAGCACCAAACUAAAGCUGAAGGCACAUAAUGUAGAACCAUUUUCAUUCUAAAAAGACCAUCCCAAGGUGGUUUGCAGUACUCAUUGCACAGAUACUUAGGUCUCAACAGAAUUACAUAUCAAAUCCGCAAAAUUCAACCUAAAAGCACAUAAGAUAGGUAAUCUUUAGCAUAGCAGAUUCCACAGGAGAGCUGGAAUUGAACUGCUUAGUCAAACAAGCUGAAGCCCAUGUCAUCAUCGCUCUCUUCCUUGGCCUCCUCCUUUUUCUCUUCUUUCUUCUCUUCAGCGGCAGCAGCACCACCAGCAGCCGGGGCAGCAGCAGCAGCAGCUGGAGCACCACCUCCACCUGGAAACGAAUCAAAUUCGUUACUACAUUGACAAAAUAAAAGGCAGCAGUACACGUAAAUGCAAAGCAUAGAACCACUCCUGUUGCUGCUCAUGAUAAGUUACAAUCAACCCGAAUAGCAUACUCAUUCUCUACUAUUACACUCCUCGAGAUUGGUCAAACAGGGAUGACAAAAAAUUUACACGUGAAAUUAAAUUCAGAAAACAGAACAUAGGUACAUCUACAAGUCCUGCCUAGGAAGUCAUCCUUCAAUUUAAUAAUAAGUUGUCUAACAUUAAGUGAAGCGAUGGAUUCUCUUAUUGCACAGACUAACCAAGCAGCAGAUCAAAGUACGUUCCAUAAAUUAGAGGCAGUGGCAACAAUAUGAUAUGUCUACUGUGAAGUACACAACGGGCCACGUGAAUCAAAGCCUUGGAUAAACUACAGAGGAAUAUAACACAGUGAGAGCGGGAGAGGUUUACCAGAUCCGACGGAAAGGAUGAGGUCAUCGACGCUCCUCUUCUCCAGGAGCUUGGCGAAGAGCGCGGGCCAGUAGGCCUCAACCUUGAUUCCGGCAGCCUUCACCACCGUCGCGAUCUUCUC